Etheostoma spectabile (orangethroat darter) is the source of this 107-nucleotide long non-coding RNA. RefSeq lists it as uncharacterized. NCBI's taxonomy places the organism in Eukaryota, Metazoa, Chordata, Actinopteri, Perciformes, Percidae. The record is from RefSeq and is a predicted model, not a curated record. The transcript has 3 exons.
AAAAAAGCUUCUUGACGGUUGUUUGGCUCGAGGUCGUGGGACAAAGGACCCUAGGGUGAAAUCACUCGGAACCAUCGCUUUAAGAAAGAAUGAAUAGGUUGUUAAAA